Molecule: ribosomal RNA, 484 nt
Filed under: uncultured bacterium
Lineage: Bacteria
Description: partial 16S ribosomal RNA
Rfam family: Bacterial small subunit ribosomal RNA
Source: RNAcentral
AUUGAACGCUGGCGGAAUGCUUUACACAUGCAAGUCGAACGGCAGCACGGGGGCAGCCCUGGUGGCGAGUGGCGAACGGGUGAGUAAUACAUCGGAACGUGCCCGGUCGUGGGGGAUAACGUAGCGAAAGUUACGCUAAUACCGCAUACGAUCUGAGGAUGAAAGCGGGGGACCUUCGGGCCUCGCGCGAUCGGAGCGGCCGAUGUCAGAUUAGGUAGUUGGUGGGGUAAAGGCCGACCAAGCCGACGAUCUGUAGCUGGUCUGAGAGGACGACCAGCCACACUGGGACUGAGACACGGCCCAGACUCCUACGGGAGGCAGCAGUGGGGAAUUUUGGACAAUGGGCGCAAGCCUGAUCCAGCCAUUCCGCGUGCAGGACGAAGGCCUUCGGGUUGUAAACUGCUUUUGUACGGAACGAAAAGGCUCUGGCUAAUACCUGGGGCUCAUGACGGUACCGUAAGAAUAAGCACCGGCUAACUACGUG